Rattus norvegicus (Norway rat) is the source of this 2406-nucleotide non-coding RNA. The record is from RefSeq and is a predicted model, not a curated record. NCBI's taxonomy places the organism in Eukaryota, Metazoa, Chordata, Mammalia, Rodentia, Muridae.
AUGAGGAACUGUAGGGUGAGCUGGAUGCCACAGCACAGUUCUGCUGCUGUUUCUGGGAUCUGUCCACCUCAGGAGGGACCAUGGAGCUCAUAUAGCCUUUGGCCUGAGCCCCCAUUACUGAGAGAAAAGGAGGCUGUUGCCAAGGACUCCAGGGGAGUGGAUUCUACUCUGGUCCAGACCCAAGGCACCCAGCCCUCCUGGAGACAUUGUGUGAGCUGGGCUGGGCCUCCAGACACAGCCCCUGCCGCCCCACCCCAGCCAGGGUGGUGCUUGUGUGGGAAGGACUUUAAGUCCAGCCGCCAGACCCCUGAUCGGGAGAGGCAGAGAGGGCUGGCCACUAUGCACAGCUCCUGCAGCCCGUGGGUGAUGCUGCCCCAGCUGCCACUGCUGCUCCUGUUGCUUCUGCUGCUGCUGACUGCCACUGGCCCCGCCACAGCCCUCACAGAGGACGAGAAGCAAACCAUGGUGGAGCUUCACAACCACUACCGCGCCCAGGUGUCCCCGCCAGCCUCAGACAUGCUGCAGAUGAGGUGGGACGACGAGCUGGCCGCCUUCGCCAAGGCCUACGCUCAGAAGUGCGUGUGGGGACACAACAAGGAGCGCGGGCGGCGCGGAGAGAACCUGUUUGCCAUCACGGACGAGGGCAUGGAUGUACCGCUGGCCGUGGGGAACUGGCACGAGGAGCAUGAAUAUUACAAUCUCAGCACAGCCACCUGUGAUCCGGGCCAGAUGUGCGGCCACUACACUCAGGUAGUGUGGAGCAAAACUGAGAGAAUCGGCUGUGGUUCCCACUUCUGCGAGACGCUCCAGGGAGUGGAGGAAGCUAACAUCCAUUUGCUGGUGUGCAACUAUGAGCCCCCGGGGAACGUGAAGGGCCGGAAGCCCUACCAGGAGGGGACGCCUUGCUCCCAGUGCCCUCUUGGCUACAGCUGCGUGAACUCUCUCUGUGAGCCGGAGAGAAAACCGGAAAAAGCGCAGGAUUCGCCUCCAAGGGUGACUGAAGUCCCAGGCUCCAGGGAAACCGGUAUUCCAUCCCUAGCAACCUCUGAAUCUCUACAUUUCUCCUCGGUAACAAAGGUCUCGGACUCCCUGGCAACCGAGCCCUCACCUGCGGUAGAAACAAAGGCCCCACCUUCCUUAGCAACCGAAGGCCCCUCCUCCAUGGCAACAGAGGCUCAGUCUUUUCUAACUGAGGUCCCCUCGGUUUCUGCAACGCACAUCCAGCCUUCACUGGAUGAAGGGCCAGUUAACUUCCUCACAUCAACACACAUCCCUGUCCCCAAAUCUACGGACAAAGAAGCCAGCAGCAAGUCGAGAGCAGCCUCCGUGAGCCCAGAGAAAUCUCUGUACCCCAAGAUGUCCCCGACAGAGACAGGAGAGUCCCCACCCCAAAUCCAGGAGGAGGCUGAGCCCAAGGCCGAGUUGCCUGAGCGGGAGGACGAGUUGCCCGAGGCAGAGGUCGAAUUGCCUGAGGCAGAGGCCGAGUUGCCAGAGGCCAAGGCCGAGUUGCCUGUUUCCAGUGAGGCUUUGGUCCCAGUUCUUCCAGCUCAGGAGCGCGGUGGGCCGAAGGCCUCACUGGAACACUCCAGCUACCCUGUCCCCACAUAUCUGCCCAACUUCCCUAGUGCCUCGGGCAAUGCCACAGGUGGGCGCACCCUGGCCCUACAAUCAUCCCGGACAGGUAAGGCCCCAAGUCCUCAUCGUCCUUCCUGGCUCCAGAAUGCUGGUAUCCGGUGCUGGAACCAGUGGUUGGAGCAUGGUAAAGCAUGCGCCAUCUGGAAGAUGCUUCCUCCCUGCCUGCUGCCUGCACCCUGCAUGGAGUGAGUGGAGAGACAGGCUAAGCUGUUUUCCAGCUGAGGUACAGCACCUUCCUUUCUGCAGGUGCAGAGGACCCUGAAAAGGCCAGCUGGGAUUCGAAGAACUCUGCUCCUGUGUGGGGCCCUUUCCCGGGACUGCUGCUGCCUCUCCUGCUGUUGGCUGGCAUAUUCUGAGGGGGACACUCAAAGGCCUGGGAGAAGAGCUCAGAUGCCCAACUGCUGUGUUCUCCUAUCCUGUCCCUCAAGCAAGAUAUCACCCCUGGCUAAAGCCCCUCUGGAAGGGAAAGGCUGUGGGCUCAUCAGUAACUGCACACCGGGGCCCUUCCUGCCCCUCACAGUGGAGUUCUACGGAGGACAUGAUUCUGAUGAUACUUGUCUGCUCCACGGGGUGGGGUGGGGCGGGUGGGCUGCUGUCUGCCUGCAGGCUCUAGGGCUCCCCAUCUCCAAGUGGUGCCCAUUGGCUUGGACAGCAGGGACUCGGGGUAGGUAAAGAACAAGCCCCAACCAAAGUGGGGUUCUGUGGGUGGGGAGGCGGGGAGCAGGGAACGAAGAGAGGCAGCUUUGACUCCUGAAUAAAGCCUGUCUGAGA